CCUACGGGAGGCAGCAGUGGGGAAUAUUGGACAAUGGGCGAAAGCCUGAUCCAGCAAUGCCGCGUGAGUGAUGAAGGCCUUCGGGUCGUAAAGCUCUUUUACCAGGGAUGAUAAUGACAGUACCUGGAGAAUAAGCUCCGGCUAACUCCGUGCCAGCAGCCGCGGUAAUACGGAGGGAGCUAGCGUUGUUCGGAAUUACUGGGCGUAAAGAGUACGUAGGCGGUUAUUCAAGUCAGAGGUGAAAGCCCGGGGCUCAACCCCGGAACUGCCUUUGAAACUAGAUAACUAGAGUCUUGGAGAGGUUAGUGGAAUUCCGAGUGUAGAGGUGAAAUUCGUAGAUAUUCGGAAGAACACCAGUGGCGAAGGCGACUAACUGGACAAGUACUGACGCUGAGGUACGAAAGCGUGGGGAGCAAACAGGAUUAGAUACCCUGGUAGUCCACGCCGUAAACGAUGAUAACUAGUUGUUCGGUCACUUGGUGACUGAGUGACGCAGCUAACGCAUUAAGUUAUCCGCCUGGGGAGUACGGUCGCAAGNUUAAAACCACAAGAUGACGNNGAGNGNGCGAGACGACGACGAGGAGAG
RNAcentral lists this ribosomal RNA (586 nucleotides) under uncultured bacterium. RNAcentral describes it as "bacterial SSU rRNA". It matches the Rfam family "Bacterial small subunit ribosomal RNA", at positions 338 to 941 of the family's 1533-position model. The record is from RNAcentral.